Molecule: long non-coding RNA, 197 nt
Organism: Anarrhichthys ocellatus (wolf-eel)
Lineage: Eukaryota; Metazoa; Chordata; Actinopteri; Perciformes; Anarhichadidae
Exons: 3
Source: RefSeq, a predicted model, not a curated record
CACCUGUACUGCAGCUCAUCAUCCAUUAACAUCACAGAACAGCGAUGGCAGCAGCAGCCUUGUCAAGCAGCAGAGGAGUGGCUGGUGGCCUGUACAUCCUCUUCACUCUGCUGUGUCUGGUUUGCCUCGCAAGUUCAUGGAUACACGACGAGAAACUGAAAGAUCUCAAAGAAGACAAUCAGAAAAUACAACAAAAC